AUGGCCGAGCGCUUCCCAGGCGAUGGCGCGGCGGCGAACGGCUUCGGCCGCCGCCAUCUUCAUGAAGACGAGGCUCGCCUCCUUUACGAGGCCGAGUACCCGGUCCCGCCGGACAUGCGGGUGCCCGGGGCGUGGAGGAUCAGCGCUGGCGGCGUGCCGGUGCCCUCGGUACCGACCGGCGCGGCGCGGCAUGCGGAGAUCGCACGCAUCCGCUCGAACCUGCCGCGUGCGGCGAGGGAGGGGCCACGGUACGCCCCCGACAGCCCGCUCUGGGAACCUUACUUCCGCCGCCGUCAGGCCGAGCAGCUCGAGGCCACCAACGGCGUCGUGCCCUCCGGCAGGCUCAACGCCGCCGGCCGGCGUCUGUGGUGGGGCGUGCCCGUGCGCACGUUGGAGGCCGUCCUCGAGUACAUCGAGGGCGGCAACAUGCUGCGCCUCGAGUACCCCGCUCCCCCUUCCUUCUCACGCCGCCGGGGAAGCUCCUGGACCCCGAGGCGCAUGGAGACCGGGGGGUCCUCCUCCUCGUCCGGCGGCUCGCCCUGCCUCCGCCCCGUCAAGCCGGAGCCCCAGGACAUGCCGGUCAGCGCGUGCACCCGCAGCUCCGGCGGCGCCAACGCCUCUCCACCCACCGGCCGCUUCGUCCUCGCCGAGCCCAAGCCGGAGCCCGUGCUCCCCACGGAGUACGAGGAGAUAGCCCGGCGCGGCUUCUCCGACGAGGACGCCAUGCGGUGGGCGCGGGACGACUACCUCCGCGACGAGAUGGUCCGGCAGCGCCGGGCCCUGGAGGAGAUCGCCGCCCGCAAGCGUGGGCGCGAGGACGAGCACGGCGUCGUGGUCCUCGACAGCGACGACGCCCCCCCCGGACCGUCCAACCCGCCGCGCCAACCGGGGGAGGGAUGCAGCGGGGACGGCGGAGGCGGCGACGACGACGAUGAUGACGAUGACGGCGGUGACUACACGCGGUUCUACCGCCUCCUCGGCAUGUAG
This 987-nucleotide ribosomal RNA is filed under the name Triticum aestivum (bread wheat). Its description in RNAcentral is "partial small subunit ribosomal RNA". The record is from RNAcentral. Lineage: Eukaryota; Viridiplantae; Streptophyta; Magnoliopsida; Poales; Poaceae.